ACGCAUCACGCUCACUGCCACCAUGCCGUCCUCAAGGGAACAUCCUUCCUAACCCUAAAUUAGGCUUCCCACUGUCCAGUCCUGGGACAGUGUGCCCCACUCCAUGUACUAAGGGCUUUCGUUUCACCUUCCCCUUCAAGCAAGGUCAUCAGACGGAGUGGCUGCAGCAGUGCUGAUGGGCGGCUGUGCCGUGGGGCAUGCCAGCAGCGCUGCCUUUGGCUUGAUGCCUUGGCUGCUGCAAUGACGCACUCAUGUGCUGGCAUGCAUGUACUCCGGGCACGGCGAUGCGAUGGUGCUGCAUAUUGC
Molecule: non-coding RNA, 306 nt
Filed under: Dunaliella sp. WIN1
Lineage: Eukaryota; Viridiplantae; Chlorophyta; Chlorophyceae; Chlamydomonadales; Dunaliellaceae
Source: RNAcentral